Long non-coding RNA from Teleopsis dalmanni, 458 nucleotides. RefSeq lists it as uncharacterized. The record is from RefSeq and is a predicted model, not a curated record. The transcript has 2 exons. NCBI's taxonomy places the organism in Eukaryota, Metazoa, Arthropoda, Insecta, Diptera, Diopsidae.
UCUCUGUGGGUAUCAAGAAAAAUUUGCAUAUAACAACAUAUUGCUAACCAAUUUUUAAUUUUUAUUGUUAGCAAAAUGGAUGAUCUGAUCGAUGAAAAUCAAUUCAAUAAAGAUGAAAUUAAUAAACUAGUUAGGGAUGUUGUUGAAAAAAUUUUAGAGGGAGUCCUCUAUGAACACAAUAAAAUAAAGCAGUGGACAGAAUUGAUUUUGGACCAAUGUAUGGCUGCACUGUUCAAGGAACAAAAACAAUAUAAAUACAUUCUCGGUGUCAAGAUAAUGCAGAAAUGUGGAGCUGGUUUACAAUGCGCUUGCGCAUGUUAUUGGAAUAAUGAAACCGAUGACAUAAAAGUUGUUCGUUGGGAGAACAAGACAAUGGUUUGCAUUGUCACUGUUAUGGGUGCAAUUGUUUAGGAACUAAUGAGAAUUCAAAAGCAUAGCGAAAGGUUUCUAAAUAGUGG